This is a long non-coding RNA of Thamnophis elegans (Western terrestrial garter snake), 428 nucleotides long. RefSeq lists it as uncharacterized. The transcript has 2 exons. The record is from RefSeq and is a predicted model, not a curated record. Lineage: Eukaryota; Metazoa; Chordata; Lepidosauria; Squamata; Natricidae.
AGCAACAGGCAGGCAGGAAGUUACACCAAGGCUAUCAGAGCCCACCACCACCAGCAUUGAGAAGCAAGACCGGGAAGGAGGACAUCUUUUAAAAUAAUCCCAGCAUCCCUCUCAUCUUGCCUGAUAAUGCAGGCAGCCUCCAAAUUUGCUCAGAAAAUUCUGAGAGAUUCCGAGCAGGACAAACAUCCAGAAGGAAACCCUAAACAUGCUUGGGAGCAACCCCGAUCCUUUUGAACAGUGCCCGCUAACCCCCAAUGUAUCAUCUCGGCUGUCAAGAGUUGAAGAAUGAACACACAAGGCUCAACAUGAUUAAUACUCCUUCAAGAAAGCAGUAACUUCAUUGCAAUGAAAAGGGGGGUUUAUAAUGAACAUCCUGUUUGCCCCACUAGCGCAUUUUAAAAUCCUGGAAAUGUUCCAGUAGGAAUAUU